UACGUAGGGGGCAAGCGUUGUCCGGAUUAUUGGGCGUAAAGAGCGUGUAGGCGGCCAGAUAGGUCCGUUGUGAAAACUCGGAGCUCAACCUCGAGACGCCGAUGGAAACCAUCUGACUAGAGUCCGGAAGAGGAGAGUGGAAUUCCUGGUGUAGCGGUGAAAUGCGCAGAGAUCGGGAAGAAUACCCGUGGCGAAGGCGGCCAGCUGGGCCAGGCCGACACUGAGGCGCGAAAGCGUGGGGAGCAAACAGG
This 251-nucleotide ribosomal RNA is filed under the name uncultured bacterium. Its description in RNAcentral is "partial 16S ribosomal RNA". It matches the Rfam family "Bacterial small subunit ribosomal RNA", at positions 524 to 776 of the family's 1533-position model. The record is from RNAcentral.